AUGGCGACCGGCGCACGGGUGAGUAACACGUAUCCAACCUGCCGAUGACUCGGGGAUAGCCUUUCGAAAGAAAGAUUAAUACCCGAUGGCAUAGUUCUUCCGCAUGGUAGAACUAUUAAAGAAUUUCGGUCAUCGAUGGGGAUGCGUUCCAUUAGCUUGUUGGCGGGGUAACGGCCCACCAGGGCAUCGAUGGAUAGGGGUUCUGAGAGGAAGGUCCCCCACAUUGGAACUGAGACACGGUCCAAACUCCUACGGGAGGCAGCAG
This 265-nucleotide ribosomal RNA is filed under the name uncultured bacterium. Its description in RNAcentral is "partial 16S ribosomal RNA". It matches the Rfam family "Bacterial small subunit ribosomal RNA", at positions 88 to 354 of the family's 1533-position model. The record is from RNAcentral.